Long non-coding RNA from Amphiprion ocellaris (clown anemonefish), 841 nucleotides. The record is from Ensembl. NCBI's taxonomy places the organism in Eukaryota, Metazoa, Chordata, Actinopteri, Pomacentridae.
CGUCCUUAUGUGCAGCUACCGUUGUUCUCAUAGAUAUGAAUGAGUAGAUAGGACACGCCCCUUUGAGCUGCGUGCUACAACGAGGCUAAGCUAGUGGGGGCAAAGUUUCAGUGCAUUCCGUUGAUGUAGACGGCGUGAAAACGGAAACAAGAAGUAUGCCGUCUCACUGUACUGCAUACAGUUACACACUACGUCGUACGAUUGAGACAAAGAAACUUGGAAUGACUUUUCAUAGGUUUCCCAGAGACUAUGGGUUGAGGAGGAAUUGGAAGUUUGUCGGCUUAGACCUGGUGUCAUUCCAUCAGUGUUAAACUUCCCGGCUCAUCUUGGAAGAGUACGUGCCAGAAAGACCACGACCAAGCAGCCUUGAGAUCUUAGACAGCGUCUCCCUGAGGUCCCUCUCUAUCUCCCCACACAUCCACCAACCACUGGAACACAUCUCCAAAGUUCUGCCGGGCCAGCUCAGCUUCCCCUCAGAAGAAGUGCUGCCACCUGCCAGAUGAAGGAGCCUUUUGAGAGGCAGCUGGCAUCGUGAUUGGACUGUACUUUGGUCUGUUCCAAUCCAGCUUCAGCUCCAGAGACGGCAGGCGGGACGAGUCAACGGAGGCCUGGUGGACGAAGGCAUGCAGCUGAGUACAAUCCAGAAAACAACAGAGGAGGAGUGCAGGGCCAGAACAAGCAGAGUAGCAUCACCAAAGAACUACAGACUCUUCACAACCUGCUCAAACUCUUGGUACAGGACCUCACCACAUGGGUCAAGAAGGUUUCCAUCUCAUUUCUACUCUGAAGCUCACCUUCUCCUGCUCAAACUGCUGACAAAUGUUUCUGCUGCUCUAAAGUC